UACGUAGGGGGCAAGCGUUGUCCGGAAUCAUUGGGCGUAAAGAGCGUGUAGGCGGCUCGAUAAGUCUGCUGUGAAAGUCCAGGGCUCAACCCUGGAAGGCCGGUGGAAACUGUCGGGCUAGAGUCCGGAAGAGGCGAGUGGAAUUCCCGGUGUAGCGGUGAAAUGCGCAGAUAUCAGGAGGAACACCGGUGGCGAAGGCGGGUCUCUGGGCCGAAAUUGACGCUGAGGAGCGAAAAGCGUGGGGGAGCAAACAGG
This 255-nucleotide ribosomal RNA is filed under the name uncultured bacterium. RNAcentral describes it as "partial 16S ribosomal RNA". It matches the Rfam family "Bacterial small subunit ribosomal RNA", at positions 524 to 776 of the family's 1533-position model. The record is from RNAcentral.